GACGAACGCUGGCGGCGUGCUUAACACAUGCAAGUCGAGCGGUAAGGCCCUUUCGGGGGUACACGAGCGGGCGAACGGGUGAGUAACACGUGGGUGACCUGCCCUCAGCUCUGGGAUAAGCCUGGGAAACCGGGUCUAAUACUGGAUAUGACUCCAUGACGCAUGUUGUGGGGUGGAAAGCCUUGUGCGGCUGAGGAUGGGCCCGCGGCCUAUCAGCUUGUUGGUGGGGUGANGGCCUACCAAGGCGACGACGGGUAGCCGGCCUGAGAGGGCGACCGGCCACACUGGGACUGAGACACGGCCCAGACUCCUACGGGAGGCAGCAGUGGGGAAUCUUGCGCAAUGGGCGAAAGCCUGACGCAGCGACGCCGCGUGAGGGAUGACGGCCU
This 389-nucleotide ribosomal RNA is filed under the name uncultured bacterium. RNAcentral's name for it is "bacterial SSU rRNA". It matches the Rfam family "Bacterial small subunit ribosomal RNA", at positions 28 to 417 of the family's 1533-position model. The record is from RNAcentral.